UCCUACGGGACGCAGCAGUGGGGAAUAUUGGGCAAUGGGCGCAAGCCUGACCCAGCCACGCCGCGUGAGUGAUGAAGGCCUUCGGGUUGUAAAGCUCUGUGGGGAGAGAAGAAAAACUGAGACCUAAUACGUCUCAGGUUGACGGUAUCUCCUUAGCAAGCACCGGCUAACUCUGUGCCAGCAGCCGCGGUAAGACAGAGGGUGCAAACGUUGCUCGGAUUUACUGGGCGUAAAGCGCAUGUAGGCGGGCAAAUAAGUCGGGUGUGAAAUCCCUGGGCUCAACCUAGGAACUGCAUCCGAAACUGUUUACCUUGAGUAGUGGAGAGGAAAGCGGAAUUCCGGGUGUAGAGGUGAAAUUCGUAGAUAUCCGGAGGAACACCAGUGGCGAAGGCGGCUUUCUGGACACUAACUGACGCUGAGAUGCGAAAGCGUGGGGAGCAAACAGGAUUAGAUACCCUGGUAGC
Molecule: ribosomal RNA, 464 nt
Filed under: uncultured bacterium
Lineage: Bacteria
Description: bacterial SSU rRNA
Rfam family: Bacterial small subunit ribosomal RNA
Source: RNAcentral